Molecule: ribosomal RNA, 189 nt
Filed under: Escherichia coli
Lineage: Bacteria; Pseudomonadati; Pseudomonadota; Gammaproteobacteria; Enterobacterales; Enterobacteriaceae
Description: partial 23S ribosomal RNA
Rfam family: Bacterial large subunit ribosomal RNA
Source: RNAcentral
GUCUCGUAUUGCGUCAAUGGCAUCCCACGAUAAUGCACUGUCAAUUUUCAGUGUAUUACGGUGCACCAUGCCUGACUGAUGAACUGCGUGCUCAGAGUUACCACUUCAGCGCAUAUGACUGACCGAUAGUGAACCAGUACCGUGAGGGAAAGGCGAAAAGAACCCCGGCGAGGGGAGUGAAAAAGAACC